UAUGAGGUGGCCGAAUGGUUAAGGUGAUGGACUGCUAGUUCAUUGGGCCCUGCCCACGUGUGUUCGAAUCCCGUCGUGAUAU
Trichonephila clavipes is the source of this 82-nucleotide non-coding RNA. The record is from the annotation of a GenBank genome assembly. NCBI's taxonomy places the organism in Eukaryota, Metazoa, Arthropoda, Arachnida, Araneae, Nephilidae.